AAUGAACGCUGGCGGCGCGCCUAAUACAUGCAAGUCGAGCGAGAAGACGUAGCAAUACGUUUGUAAAGCGGCGAACGGGUGAGGAAUACAUGGGUAACCUACCCUCGAGUGGGGAAUAACUAGCCGAAAGGUUAGCUAAUACCGCGUACGCUCCUUGGACUUCGGUUCAGGGAGGAAAGCGAUACCGUGGGUAUCGCGCUCUUGGUUGGGCUCAUGUCCUAUCAGCUUGUUGGUGAGGAACGGCUCACCAAGGCUUCGACGGGUAGCUGGUCUGAGAGGACGAUCAGCCACACUGGCACUGCGACACGGGCCAGACUCCUACGGGAGGCAGCAGUGGGGAAUCUUGC
This 347-nucleotide ribosomal RNA is filed under the name uncultured bacterium. RNAcentral's name for it is "bacterial SSU rRNA". It matches the Rfam family "Bacterial small subunit ribosomal RNA", at positions 29 to 367 of the family's 1533-position model. The record is from RNAcentral.